This 609-nucleotide ribosomal RNA is filed under the name uncultured bacterium. RNAcentral describes it as "bacterial SSU rRNA". It matches the Rfam family "Bacterial small subunit ribosomal RNA", at positions 202 to 834 of the family's 1533-position model. The record is from RNAcentral.
AAGACCUCGCGCCUGAAGAGAAGCCUGCGGCAGAUUAGCUAGUUGGUAAGGUAAUGGCUUACCAAGGCAACGAUCUGUAUCCGGUCUAAGAGGACGGUCGGACACACUGACACUGAAUAACGGGUCAGACUCCUACGGGAGGCAGCAGUCGGGAAUUUUGGGCAAUGGGCGAAAGCCUGACCCAGCAACGCCGCGUGAAGGAUGAAGUUUUUCGGAAUAUAAACUUCGUAAGAAUAGGAAGAAUAAAUGACGGUACUAUUUGUAAGGUCCGGCUAACUACGUGCCAGCAGCCGCGGUAAUACGUAGGGACCAAGCGUUGUUCGGAUUUACUGGGCGUAAAGGGCGCGUAGGCGGCAAUUCAAGUCAGCUGUGAAAUCUCCGGGCUUAACUCGGAACGGUCAGCUGAUACUGCUUUGCUAGAGUGCAGAAGGGGCAAUCGGAAUUCUUGGUGUAGCGGUGAAAUGCGUAGAUAUCAAGAGGAACACCUGAGGUGAAGACGGGUUGCUGGGCUGACACUGACGCUGAGGCGCGAAAGCUAGGGUAGCAAACGGGAUUAGAUACCCGGUAGUCCUAGCCCUAAACGAUGAAUACUUGGUGUCUGGAGUUUUA